This is a long non-coding RNA of Epinephelus fuscoguttatus (brown-marbled grouper), 2114 nucleotides long. RefSeq lists it as uncharacterized. The record is from RefSeq and is a predicted model, not a curated record. NCBI's taxonomy places the organism in Eukaryota, Metazoa, Chordata, Actinopteri, Perciformes, Serranidae. The transcript has 2 exons.
AGCACUGGGGAGGGACUUAUGAUUUUUGUUUUGGCUUAGGUUUCUUGUUCCAACACAUGUUAAAAGCUUUUUUUUCGUUGUUUUUUUUUUUUUUUUGAAUCGCCAAAACUAUACUGACAGAAAAGAAUAUUUAUCUACAGGUGGACAUAAGUAUGAGAAAUGUGAAAAGUCUAUGGCGAUUAGACCCCAUCGUGAUGUCAUCUAUUCCAGGAGGGUGGUGAAGAUGUAGUAGAUUAGAGAUCCACCCUAUGGGGUCUAGAUUCUGGUGGUGAUGAGAUGAGUCAGCUCAUUGGUGGAAGUGAUGGGAGUGGGACAUGGAGAGAACUGUGAAUGAAUAAUGAAUACAGCACAAAGACAGUCUUCCUGACUGAACUUACACUGAGCUUUAUUGGAUUUUUAAAUUUCCGACAGCCCUUGGACACGGGGGCCUGGCUUUUUUCAACUCCAGGAUGUCAUCUUCAACUUUUAACUUUCAAACAUCAAAGAGAAAAUUUUAAAAAUCAAAUAACUAAUUUAUGGUGGAGGGAGGGUCAUGCAUUUUCAGGCAGUCACUCAGGGAGGUUCAAGGGAAAAUAUCUGUAGCUUAAAAAAGAAAAAAAAUGGAGUCACACCCCAGCUACCCCUCUCUUCUGAUAAAUAAAGAACAGUACCUAAAAGUAAUAACCAGCAUUUUUAUUAAUUUAUUCAUUUUCCAUUCUGCUUAUCCUGUUAGGGGUUGUUGGGGGGCUGGAGCCUAUCCCAGCUGACACUGGGUGAGAGGCAGGGUACACCCUGGACAAGUCACCAGACUAUCACAGGGCUGACACAGAGAGACAGACAACCAUUCACACUCACAUUCACACCUAUGGACAAUUUAGAGUCACCAAUUAACCUGCAUGUCUUUGGACUGUGGGAGGAAGCUGGAGCACCUGGAGAAAACCCACGCUGACAUGGGGUUUGAAUCUCCCACCUUAGGUUUGAAUCAGAAAUCUUGUUGUGGCUCAACAAUGCUAACCAGCGCACCACCAAUUUGCUUUUUUACGAUUCUGAAUUCUUCAGUGAGACAGACGAAGAUGUAACUGUGGUAUAAAAAUCCAUUGUCAGGCCUGUUGCAUAAGAUCUUUAUCACACUGUCGUCCAUCAGAGUUCAAAUUGAAAUAAGUUUAUUGCGAGUAUUCGAAGGUUUCACUCAAACUUACUGAGCCAGUCCCGAGGGCAGACUGACCUGUUUCAGUAUUACAUUCAGUGCUGUUCACAUUCCCGUCCCAUUGUGGAUGCUGCCUGGCAGAGCCCUUUUAUUGUUACGCCCUGUAUGUCUGUCACCAUUGUGUCCUGAGCUCAGCACAUUCAACCUGGCUCUGACACCACUGUCAGAUGCAGACAGAGACAUUAACUUGGGUACAGAUUGUAAAGGCAUCCACUUUUAUCUUUUAGCUCACAUCUAGGGUGUAACGUGUCACCUGUGUUCCUUAUAAGUAAUGAAACCCACUAAAUUGUGAAGGACAUUACAUCACUGAUGGGUGUGGAUGAGUGGCCCAGUGUGGAAAAUGUGCCCUACCAUAAUUCCCUAAUGGUUGGCCUGUAAUAUUUCACAUAGACAAUAAAUCAAAUCACUCUGUAACUUGAAAGUGUCUCUGGUGGUUUGUCUCAGUUCACAAACAGUUAUAACUCCACAGGAAAUGUAGAGAGCAAGGCUGAAAGUCAAGCAUAUUUUCAUCUUCCUGCGUCUCUGUUAUCUCUCCUGUUCCUGUCUGACGUUCUGCUGAUGUCACUAUCAGAUCAACUCUGAGAUGUCCUCUCUGUCUGCAGCCCGUCCCAGAGUGCACUGCAGCAACAGCCUGUUGAAGAUAAACUACAUUGCGGUCGUCCUCUCUGUCUCCCCUGCUCAAAUUGAUGAUAAAGAAGACAUGUCUCUCAGCUGAAGCUUUUAAUGAGCUCACGUUGUCAGAUAAAGAACCACUUUCCAUCCAUCCAGAGUCUCACAGGAAGUCCGACAUGUGCCACAAAGACAGGUGGAGAGGAUGUCGUCCAUUGAUCGCUGAUUAAUUUGCUCCUGUCCAGAAAUAAAUUCUCAUGUGAUUCACACACAGAAUUAUCUGUCUUUAUGAUUUACAAUAAAAAUAAAGUUGAUCUGC